RNAcentral lists this unclassified non-coding RNA (209 nucleotides) under Cystobasidium pallidum. Its description in RNAcentral is "ITS 1". The record is from RNAcentral. Lineage: Eukaryota; Fungi; Basidiomycota; Cystobasidiomycetes; Cystobasidiales; Cystobasidiaceae.
AUGCAUUGAAACUGCCCUCUUUUGAGGGAACUGCUUCUAGUGAUUUUCACUUGAAGUGGGACCCCGGCCCUCUUUGGUAAUUGGAAACUUUUUCCAUCUGAGCCACCGGGUUUCAUUCAUUUUCUUACACUGUGCACACACUUCUUUCACACAUUUAAACACAAUAGUAUAAGAAUGUAACAGUCUCUUAAUUGAGCAUAAAUAAAAAU